This 2284-nucleotide long non-coding RNA is filed under the name Homo sapiens (human). The record is from RNAcentral. Lineage: Eukaryota; Metazoa; Chordata; Mammalia; Primates; Hominidae.
GCACGGUGGGCUGCAGCGGCUCCAUCCAAGCCUCCUUGGCCCUGGAAGCCGGCGUGUCCAUGUUGCCCACGUUCUGGACUGCCUGGAGGUGACAGCAGGAAGGACCAGGUUCUGCUAGGUUUAACUGACGCUGCUGCACCGGAUACCCCACCCCGGUGCCGGGCACAUAGGUGCAGCCUGAGAGUAAGCAGACCCGGGUUGGAAGGUCCCGCGAUUCACCACCGACAGGAUGGGCGGCCUUGGCAACCCCCGACCCCUCGCAGGCCUGUUCCCUUAUCCAUGAGAUGGAGCUCGGACAAGGUGGCCACAGGAAGGCUUUGCAAACUGUGAAGUGCAGUGCCUACGUGGGCGUGCCAGUGGCCUCGCCGGAGCCGGUAGGGAACACUCUGCAGUCCAGGCCAGGGCCCCGGUAGGACACCCAGCUGUGCAUCCCGCCCGUGGCCGCAAGGCCCGCACCUUGGCCAACAGGAGCAGGGUGCGGCUGGUGCGGGCGUCCGCGUGGCGCUCCCGCAGGUGGAAGAGCUUGGGCGACAUGAUGGCGGGAGAGAAGAAGCGCAGGCACAGGAAGCUGGUGACGGCGAUGAACGGUACAUUCUGGAGGGGUGCGGAAGAGCGCGGGCUGGAGUCCCCCAGACCAGGGCUCCUGGCAGCCCCCUCCCCUUAGGCUCCGUCCCUGACCCUCGCUGGGACACAGCCUCCCUGGUCCUCCCCAGCGCUCCCUGGUUCCCCACCGCUCUUCACCCCUCGCCCCAGCCCAGUCCAACCCGGCCCAGCCUAGCCCAGCGGGUGGAGGGCGCACCUCGUGCUGGGCGCCGGGGAAGCGCUCGCGCACGCGCCGGAAGAGCUGGCGGAAGGUGGCGCGCACCACGGCGGGGCACGCGCGAACCGAGCGGCUGAGCGCGCUCAGCAGGGCCCCCAGGUGGGCGCGCAGCGUCUGCGCGCUCUGCUCCAGCACCUCGGCCUCGGUCUGCGGGCGGUGCAGCCCGGAGCACCUGCGUGGAACGGGGCGGGUUGGCAGAGGAGGUCGCGGUCAGCGCCAGGGCCACGACAGGAACAGUGGCUCUCACAGCAGCCAGGACACGGACACAGGGGACAAUACACGGGUGGGCAGAAGCACAAACACACAUGCUGACAGGGCCUGAUCCCAACCCGCUGCCGCUGCACCCCGCAACCCCCGGAGUUACCCCCGGCCUCACCCUACAUCCUUAACUUCCACUUUGCUGGGGUCCAGCUCCACGUACUUCUUCUCCUCAAACACCUUGUUGAUGAUGGGGCCCAGGACGCCGUGCAGGUACUGCAUCCCGGCCACCUGGGGACCACCGCAGGUCACAUUGAUCCUGUCUCCCCCAGUCCCACUCCAGCUGCCCACCUUCUCCCGGCAGCCGCCCUUGCACCGUUUGCCUGCCGUAUCCGCCCAGGAGGGGGCCAGGUACACAUGCAGGGCAAACUGUUUAUUCAUGAAUGAAUGAAUGAGUGAGUGAAUGAAUGACUAGAAUUCUUAGCCCUUGUAAUCCUAGCACUUUGGGAGGCCAAGGCAGGAGGAUCACUUGAGGCCAGGAGUUUGAGACCAGCCUGGGCAACAUAGUGAGACUGUCUCUAACUUAAAUUUUAAUCACACACACAUUCUCUUUGGGGGGGGGGGGGGUGCGGGGCACGGAGUCUAGCACGGGGCCCAGGCUAGAGUGCAGUGGCGUGAGCUCACUACAACCUCUGGCUCCUGGUUCAAGUGAGUCUCCUGCCUCAGCCUCCCCAGUAGCUGGGAUUACAGGUGCCCACCACCAUGCCAGGCUAAUUUUUGUAUUUUUAGUAGAGAUGGGGUUUCGCCAUGUUGGCCAGGCUGGUCUCGAACUCCUGACCUUAAGUGAUCCGCCCGCCUCAGCCUCCCAAAGUGCUGCAAUUACAGGCAUGAGCCACUAUGCCCAGCCACAUUCUUAACCUUAAAGGGCUCUGAAUAUGGAGAUAGAACACUGGAGUCGAAGUCCCAGCCCCCUCUGUCGCUCUCUCUGAAGCUCAGUGUUGUCGUUUGCAAGAUGAGGACAAUAUAGCAUGCAACCUCACCUUCAGAAAAGACUCCACGGACUUUGAGGCCAGAGAGUUGCUCCGGAACAGGGUGUUGGUCUCACCUACAAACAGAGGUCCCAGUGGGUAGGGGGCUGGCACAAAGCUUUUGGGGGAGGGGGAGGACAGAGGACCUUGGGGCUGGGGGAUCUAAGCUGGCCCCUCAAUAAAGGGCCUCCUCGCCACCUCCCAGCCCACUGUCCCACCUCUGCCCUUGGCUCUGUUC